Molecule: unclassified non-coding RNA, 355 nt
Filed under: soil metagenome
Description: partial contains 5.8S ribosomal RNA, internal transcribed spacer 2, and large subunit ribosomal RNA
Rfam family: 5.8S ribosomal RNA (bases 1-120)
Source: RNAcentral
GAUGAAGAACGCAGCGAAAUGCGAUAAGUAAUGUGAAUUGCAGAAUUCAGUGAAUCAUCGAAUCUUUGAACGCACAUUGCGCCCGCUAGUAUUCUGGCGGGCAUGCCUGUCCGAGCGUCAUUUCAACCCUCAAGCCCCCGGGCUUGGUGUUGGGGCCGUUGUCGUUUCCUCGCCCCCCAGCGACAUAGCGACACCCCUUAAAGUCAUUGGCGGCCUUUCUGCCCAGCUUCCCGCGCAGCAGUUCGCGCUUCGGAGACCACUUGGCAGGCUGGCAUCCAUCAAGCUGACCCCUCACGCUUGACCUCGGAUCAGGUAGGGAUACCCGCUGAACUUAAGCAUAUCAAUAAGCGGAGGA